RNAcentral lists this ribosomal RNA (266 nucleotides) under uncultured Staphylococcus sp. Its description in RNAcentral is "partial 16S ribosomal RNA". It matches the Rfam family "Bacterial small subunit ribosomal RNA", at positions 96 to 354 of the family's 1533-position model. The record is from RNAcentral. Lineage: Bacteria; Bacillati; Bacillota; Bacilli; Caryophanales; Staphylococcaceae.
CGGCGGACGGGUGAGUAACACGUGGAUAACUUACCUAUAAGACUGGGAUAACUUCGGGAAACCGGAGCUAAUACCGGAUAAUAUAUUGAACCGCAUGGUUCAAUAGUGAAAGACGGUUUUGCUGUCACUUAUAGAUGGAUCCGCGCCGCAUUAGCUAGUUGGUAAGGUAACGGCUUACCAAGGCAACGAUGCGUAGCCGACCUGAGAGGGUGAUCGGCCACACUGGAACUGAGACACGGUCCAGACUCCUACGGGAGGCAGCAGGA